GAGAGAGACAUAGAGGCUAUGAUGUUGGCUUGAAACCAUUGUUUGGAGGUUCGAUUCCUUCCUUUCUUG
RNAcentral lists this transfer RNA (69 nucleotides) under Manis pentadactyla (Chinese pangolin). RNAcentral describes it as "tRNA-Ser". Lineage: Eukaryota; Metazoa; Chordata; Mammalia; Pholidota; Manidae. RNAcentral also lists the same sequence under 1 other name. The record is from RNAcentral.